GACCUCGGAUCAGGUAGGGAUACCCGCUGAACUUAAGCAUAUCAAUAAGCGGAGGAAAAGAAACCAACAGGGAUUGCCUCAGUAACGGCGAGUGAAGCGGCAAGAGCUCAAAUUUGAAAGCUGGCUCCUUCGGGGUCCGCAUUGUAAUUUGCAGAGGAUGUUUCGGGAGCAGCCCCCAUCUAAGUGUCCUGGAACGGACCGUCAUAGAGGGUGAGAAUCCCGUAUGGGAUGGGGUGUCUGCGCCCAUGUGAAACUCCUUCGACGAGUCGAGUUGUUUGGGAAUGCAGCUCCAAAUGGGUGGUAAAUUUCAUCUAAAGCUAAAUAUUGGCCGGAGACCGAUAGCGCACAAGUAGAGUGAUCGAAAGAUGAAAAGCACUUUGAAAAGAGAGUUAAAAAGCACGUGAAAUUGUUGAAAGGGAAGCGC
Molecule: ribosomal RNA, 424 nt
Filed under: uncultured fungus
Lineage: Eukaryota; Fungi
Description: eukaryotic LSU rRNA
Rfam family: Eukaryotic large subunit ribosomal RNA
Source: RNAcentral